UAACAGGUUAAGCUGACGAGUGGCGAACGGGUGAGUAAUAUAUCGGAACGUGCCCAGUCGUGGGGGAUAACUGCUCGAAAGAGCAGCUAAUACCGCAUACGACCUGAGGGUGAAAGCGGGGGAUCGCAAGACCUCGCGCGAUUGGAGCGGCCGAUAUCAGAUUAGGUAGUUGGUGGGGUAAAGGCUCACCAAGCCAACGAUCUGUAGCUGGUCUGAGAGGACGACCAGCCACACUGGGACUGAGACACGGCCCAGACUCCUACGGGAGGCAGCAGUGGGGAAUUUUGGACAAUGGGCGCAAGCCUGAUCCAGCCAUGCCGCGUGCGGGAAGAAGGCCUUCGGGUUGUAAACCGCUUUUGUCAGGGAAGAAAAGGUUCUGGUUAAUACCUGGGACUCAUGACGGUACCUGAAGAAUAAGCACCGGCUAACUACGUGCCAGCAGCCGCGGUAAUACGUAGGGUGCAAGCGUUAAUCGGAAUUACUGGGCGUAAAGCGUGCGCAGGCGGUUAUGCAAGACAGAUGUGAAAUCCCCGGGCUCAACCUGGGAACUGCAUUUGUGACUGCAUAGCUAGAGUACGGUAGAGGGGGAUGGAAUUCCGCGUGUAGCAGUGAAAUGCGUAGAUAUGCGGAGGAACACCGAUGGCGAAGGCAAUCCCCUGGACCUGUACUGACGCUCAUGCACGAAAGCGUGGGGAGCA
Molecule: ribosomal RNA, 698 nt
Filed under: uncultured Roseateles sp.
Lineage: Bacteria; Pseudomonadati; Pseudomonadota; Betaproteobacteria; Burkholderiales; Sphaerotilaceae
Description: bacterial SSU rRNA
Rfam family: Bacterial small subunit ribosomal RNA
Source: RNAcentral